UUUACUAUAGCCUUGUUUAAAACAUUUACUAUAUAAUAAAAAAAGAAAUAUUAAUCAUAAAACUUUCCUCAAAUUUUCAUCACAGCUGCUUCCAUUGUUCAUAUUGUAAGUCUUAAGGAAGUAAUACUUCUUCGUAACAUUAUCCUCAAUCUUUAGCAAGUUUUUAACCAACUGUGAAAAGUAAUGAUCAUCUAAAGUGAUCAAUACAUUAAAGUUGAUGUCAUUUAAAUAAAUAAAUCCCAAGUUAUAAAUGAUUUGUGUAUGCUUAAAACGUGGUUUUCUGUGAAAGUUGAGAUUUUUUUACUUACUUUCACCUUUUAAUCGGGGAGAAAACGUGGCACAUAUGUUCGUGUGGGAGAAAAUUCAGCUACUUGCACAAUCUUAAAUCGCAUCAGAAAAUAGAAUGUGGCGUAGAAUUUAAGUGUGAGGUUUGCGGAAAGAGCUACAAAUCGAAAACGGCCCUGAAGACGCACUGCUUCACAGUGCACCAGAAAGUUUUAUACUGAUUUUUAUUAAAUGUUUUCUGAUUGGAAUAAAUUGUUUGAUACCGACCAUUGCUUUUAUUCCACCUCCCUGAAACACGAUCGCAAGUUGUGGCCAGAUAAGUAAAGCAACUUUUGUUUCAGGUUGGCGACAGCAGUAUAAAUACAAGUGCGAAUGCGGGAGGAACUUCUCACACAAGAACCACUUCCGCUAUCACCGCAAGUCGGAAUGCGGGGUAGAUUUCAAAUGCCACAUUUGUACCAAGAAAUACAAAGCGAAGCAGACCCUCAUCGCCCACCUAGCCACCGUCCACCAUAGUGUCAAUACCUAGUCAAUAAAUAUACUUUACCUUCAAGGGACUUUAUGCCUGAGACCUUUACAAAGCCCCCGCGAAUUCCUCCCGCCAGCGGCAAUAUCUAAUCUUUUUUUAUUUUUGAAGGGCGAAAGUACAGAUUCCAGUGCGUCUGCGGGAGGAACUACUCCCACCGGCGGCACUAUCAGCAUCACAAGAAAAAAGAAUGCGGCAUAGUCUUCACCUGUGAAUUCUGCGGUCGUGUCUACAAGACAAAACUGAGCUUGAAAAUUCACAAAAAUAUACAUAUUUCUAAUCGCUUCAUUUAGAAAAUACACUUAUAGUAAUUUAAGGAAAUCUUUGUAAGUAAUA
Molecule: long non-coding RNA, 1147 nt
Organism: Cimex lectularius (bed bug)
Lineage: Eukaryota; Metazoa; Arthropoda; Insecta; Hemiptera; Cimicidae
Exons: 2
Source: RefSeq, a predicted model, not a curated record